GCGAGUGAAGCGGUAAAAGCUCAAAUUUGAAAUCUGGUACUUUCAGUGCCCGAGUUGUAAUUUGUAGAAUUUGUCUUUGAUUAGGUCCUUGUCUAUGUUCCUUGGAACAGGACGUCAUAGAGGGUGAGAAUCCCGUUUGGCGAGGAUACCUUUUCUCUGUAAGACUUUUUCGAAGAGUCGAGUUGUUUGGGAAUGCAGCUCAAAGUGGGUGGUAAAUUCCAUCUAAAGCUAAAUAUUGGCGAGAGACCGAUAGCGAACAAGUACAGUGAUGGAAAGAUGAAAAGAACUUUGAAAAGAGAGUGAAAAAGUACGUGAAAUUGUUGAAAGGGAAGGGCAUUUGAUCAGACAUGGUGUUUUUUUAAUGUGCAAGUCUCUCGUGGACAUGUGCCUCUGGAAAUUAACACUGGGCCAACAUCAGUUCUGGCGGCAGGAUAAAUCAUUAAGAAUGUAGCUACCUCGGUAGUGUUAUAGCUUUUUGGAAUACUGCCAGCUGGGAUUGAGGACUGCGCUUCGGCAAGGAUGUUGGCAUAAUGGUUAAAUGCCGCCC
Molecule: ribosomal RNA, 547 nt
Filed under: Hanseniaspora sp. GU7S05
Lineage: Eukaryota; Fungi; Ascomycota; Saccharomycetes; Saccharomycodales; Saccharomycodaceae
Description: eukaryotic LSU rRNA
Rfam family: Eukaryotic large subunit ribosomal RNA
Source: RNAcentral